This 232-nucleotide ribosomal RNA is filed under the name uncultured Rhodocyclaceae bacterium. Its description in RNAcentral is "partial 16S ribosomal RNA". It matches the Rfam family "Bacterial small subunit ribosomal RNA", at positions 1154 to 1382 of the family's 1533-position model. The record is from RNAcentral. Lineage: Bacteria; Pseudomonadati; Pseudomonadota; Betaproteobacteria; Rhodocyclales; Rhodocyclaceae.
CCGAAACCGGAAGGGAAGGGGUGGGGAUGGACCGUACAAGUCUCAUGGCCCUUAUGGGUAGGGCUUCACACGUCAUACAAUGGUCGGUACAGAGGGUUGCCAACCCGCGAGGGGGAGCUAAUCCCACAAAGCCGAUCGUAGUCCGGAUCGCAGUCUGCAACUCGACUGCGUGAAGUCGGAAUCGCUAGUAAUCGUGGAUCAGCAUGUCACGGUGAAUACGUUCCCGGGUCUU